Molecule: microRNA precursor, 67 nt
Filed under: Bombyx mori (domestic silkworm)
Lineage: Eukaryota; Metazoa; Arthropoda; Insecta; Lepidoptera; Bombycidae
Description: mir-2774 microRNA precursor family
Rfam family: mir-2774 microRNA precursor family
Source: Rfam by way of RNAcentral
CUAAUAUUCGGACUGUCGGUCUACUGAGCAAUUAUAUCCACUCGGUAGAAGAUCUUCCCUUUGUCGU